ACGCCCCCGAGCCCCCCCAAGCUCCGCGCCUCCCUCCCCUCCGUCCAGAUUCUCCGCUCCCGGCCUCUACUGCCCGCUCGCAACCACACCCCCGUGGCUAGGGUUUCGGGCAGUGCUUCGCCGGCCCGUCUCCGGCGGCCCCAGAUGCAGAUGGAGCACGCCAUGGGAUUUCCCCAUCCACCACGCUCGCUGCCGUCAAGGGCAGGAAGGAACCCUAGCCAGCAGCACCUCCUCACCUCGGAUGAUGCCUCUGCUGCACCAAGAUAGGGCCAGCAAUCCCCAUCUGCUCUCUAUCUCUCCCAUUAGCACAAGUCCAUUUUUUAAACAAAAUUCUGCUACUGCGCCAAAUAGUCCAUGAACAGAUAUAUUUUUUAUUUGUGAACUGGUAUCCUUCAAAACAUAAAUAGUGUAUAUAUGUGAUAUUUUCAUUUUUGUUCCCUUCUCAUUUUUGUGCUUUUAUUUGCAAGCUCAUAAAAUAGUUACAGUAAAAAUGCCAGUGUGUGCGAGGUCACUAUUGACAAGUCAUUGUAGUGCUACUACUGCAUUAAUCUUAGCUGUGAAGCUAUGGUCUGUUCUUUGGUACAACAAUGAAAUGUUAAUAUGUUAUUCUCCUUUUAUGCUUUGUGUCAGUGCACUGUGGUAUGACGCCAACACUUAUUUGGCACCUACAUUGCAUCGACAAUUUGUCAGCUUACAGUUUGUACCAUCGAGAAUUUUCACGCUUUACACCUGCAGCUAUAUCGCUAUACUAUAAAUAUGUUUAGAUGUCUAAAAUGGUCUUGGUACUGAACCUGACUGAUAAUGUAUUUGGUGUAUCUUUUCUGUAGAAUUAGUACCAGAGUUCUAUUUGUAUUAUUAAUUGUGUAGAGCUGAUAAUUAGACCAUAGAGUCGCUGUUGAUUUGGUUUAUUCCUUGGCAGAUCAUUUAAGUACUUUAUCUUAUUACAAAAACUGAACGAAAAUAUAGCAGCAAUACAUUUCAUGACAUAGUGUUAUCCGUGCAAGAAAAUUGCUUGAUUGAUUAUUAAUAAAUGUAAGCAAUCUAUCAUGUAGGUUUUGUUCGAUCCUACACUUAAAGAAAAUCAUACUGAAGAUCUGAGCUUAAGUGUUCCAACAGCUGAAGCACCAGCUCAAGAUGAAGGGAAUCUCUUAAUAUGAUUGUAGAUCCAUUCCCGUAAAGUGCAGUUAGAAUAUGGAAUCCACCUCGAACUCGGUUUAAAAAACAGAAAGCAUAUGGAAUUUUGCUCUAUCAGGUAGCAAUUUGGUUGUUCAAUCCAUCCAUAGUUACAUUUGAAGAUAUAUUGUUGAAUUUCCUUAUUUUGUGAAUACAAGUCUGAACUUUUAGGACAUCUGGCACAUGAGUUUGAACCAUCCAAUUAUAGUGCUACUAAUUUUGGGUCACUACAUCAUGCAAUACUAUGGAUGCUGUUUAACAUGGCAAAGUUGGAUUUUUUUUUAUUCUUUUUUCAGAUUAGAAUCACUUUAGCAAUGCCAUAUAGAUAAUACAAGAUGUGGCAAAGUGUUGCAUUCAAUAGAGAUUACAAUGAUAAAUUGGUGAAAUUAGUUUGCUCUCUGAUCUCUGUUAGCUUUAACUCGCUAGGAAGCCAUGUAGUCCUAUUUUUAGUACUAGGAGGAGAACGUAUAUUAAAUAUAUGCCAUCCAGGGAAUUGAUCUCUGUUGUGCUGGGGCAAACUAAGCCAGAGCAAGCACUUACUCAAGGCAAGGAGCAGUGCUCGUACUUGCUCAUGGUUGAGGUAGAUUCAGGUUAAAUUUUAUGUGUUGAUUCCCUUCUCUUUCACAUGUCUAGGUCUUUGUGCCUGAUCAAGCUGUUCUUUGACAAGUAUUAUCUUUGAGUGAUGCCAUGUUGGUAAUAAAAUACUAUAUAACUCACAUUUCUUAUAUGUUCCUUUUUCAUUUUUGUCCUUUCAUUUGAAAGCUCAUAUGGUCAAUUUUGGAGGCGACUACAUGUAUAUACUGCUGAUGUUACAUGUAAACAAAUUCGAUGCUUUUAUGCAUAUGACCGUGCACAUCACCGAACCCUUUCCAUUCUAUUGCAAGGUCAAAUAGUUUUUCGUGUUCUAACUCUUUGGGAUAGUCUGCAGUUAUUUGGUUCAUCGUCGCGCCUCAAGUUUCCAACAGCGCCGUGGCUGUACACCGUCGACUUCGCCGGAAAUCCUUCUGCACAUACUCUACUGUCCGCCGAAACUUUGUCUGACCUGAGUUAUUUGGCUCAUCUUCACGCCUCAAGUUUCCGACAGCGCCGUGGCUGUACACCGCCGACUUCGCCGGAAAUCUGUCUGCACAUACUCUACUAUCCGCCGAAACUUCGUCUGACCUGAGCUGAUGGGGAUGAGAUGUGACCCCGCUGCUGGGCGUCGCAAAUGCCACUGCUCCAAUGUGUGCCCCAGCUUCGGUGAUGUACGGGCGAGGCAACACGAUUUGGAGCAGUGACCCUCCUUCCAAGAAAUCAAGUUUUUUCGUUCAGAUUUUAGAGCUCGAGUUUCAGCUUAGUUCAAGGAUAGAAAAGCAUAGUCCUCAUGGAUUCAACAAGGAAGACCAUUAGCCGCCACCUUUUCAGAAUUGGAUGGUGUGGUGCACCUUCAUCCUGCUGUCCAAUUCCUUAGCUUAUUUGCUUUAACUGUACUACAGUUAUAUAGCAGGAUAAGGAUCCAAUCUUGUGAUGCCUCUCCAUUUGCACCAUCGUCAAAAGUUGCACAUGAGUUGAUUCAGACUUUCAGAAUUCAUAGAACACCUAGAGUUAUUUUAUUUCCACAAAUAUCACCAUGUUUUGCUAUUGAUGUAAUGCUAUAUUCCUUGACUGAAAUCAAACCCUUUAGUUGCUACUGUGGUGCUUUUA
This is a long non-coding RNA of Triticum dicoccoides, 2856 nucleotides long. RefSeq lists it as uncharacterized. The record is from RefSeq and is a predicted model, not a curated record. NCBI's taxonomy places the organism in Eukaryota, Viridiplantae, Streptophyta, Magnoliopsida, Poales, Poaceae. The transcript has 4 exons.